CGGCUCCGACGCGCACGCGCACCCCAGGCCCCUCCCGUGCCCACCCGGCACACGCCCACCCGUUUCUCGAACUGCCCUGCCCUCCCAGCAGUCCCCAGCUGGUCGCCUCCGAACGUGCGCACGCGCGGCGCUCACCCCGUUCUGCUCCCGCCCCUUGGCCCCCUGGGUGCCUCCGCGGGAACCCCUGGCCCGCCUGCGCGCGCGCCUUGUCCUGGGGCCUCCCGCCCCCUUUCCCCCGCCGCCCAAUCAGAUCGGGCGAGGGGCGCGGAGCCCCGGCAACGCGCUGGCGGCAGCGGCCCUCACCGUUCAAGCACUCUCCCGGCGGCUUCGCGAAGCUUUCGUUACGCCGCGAGUAACGGUACCUGUUGGCCAUCGGUAAGCUGUUUUGGGAAAAAUAGCUCUUCAGAUUCUCUGCCCAUUUAAAAAACCAGAUUGUGCCUUUCUGCCCGUGGGCACUACCAAGUCAGCAUUGUGAAAGUCUCCCCUCCCACCACCGUCAUGUCUAAGUCAGAGUCUCCCAUAGACCCUGAAUAGCUGCGGAAUCUCUUCAUCGAGGUUUGAGCUCUGAAACAACCGAUCAGAGUCUGAAUAGCUGUGAUGAGCCAUGGGAACACUUAUGGACUGUGUGGUAACGAGAGGUCCAGACACCAAGCGCUCCAGAGGCUUUGGGUUUGUCACGUACGUCACUGUGGGGGAGGUGGAUGCCGCCAUGAAUGCAGGGCCGCGCAAGGCGGAUGGAAGAGCUGUGGAACCAAAGAGGGCUGUCUCAAGAGAAGAUUCUCAAAGACCUGGUGCCCCCUUAACUGUGAAAAAGAUUUCUGUCGGUGGCAUUAAAGAAGACACUGAGAACAUCAUCUAAGAGAGUAUUUUGAAUAGUAUGAGAAAAUUAAAAUGCUUGAAAUCAUGACUGACCGAGGCGUGGCAACAAGAGAGGCUUUGCUUUUGUAACAUUUGAUGACCAUAACUCUGCAGACAAGAUUGUCAUUCAAAAAUCCCACACUGCGAAUGGCCACAACUGUGAAGUAAGGAGAGCCCUAUCUAAGCAAGAGAUGGCGGCGAGUGCUUCAUCCAGCCGAAGAAAUCAAAGUAGUUCUGGAAACUUUGGUGGUAGCCGUGGAGGUGGUUUUGGUGAGAAUGACUCCUUUAGUCGUGGAGGAAACUUAGUGGGCAAGGGGGCUUUGGUGGCAGUGGAGGUGGUGGUGGAUAUAGUGGCAGCGAGAUGGCUAUAAUGGAUUUGGUAAUAUUGGAAGCAACGCUGGAGGUGGCGGGAUAUAAUUAUUUUGCCAGUUACAACAGUCAGUCUUCAAAUUUUGGACCCAUUAAAGGAGGACAUUUUGGAGGCAGGAGCUCUGGCCCCUUUGGUGUUAGAGGCCAGUACUUUGCCAAACCAUGAGGCCAAGGUGGCUGCAGUGGUUCCAGCAGCAGCAGUAGCGAUGGCUGAGGCAGGAGGUUUUCAAUACUUCCAGGAAACAAAGCUUAGCUGGAGAGGAGAGCCAGAGAAGUGAUAGGGAAACUACAGGUUACAACAUAUUCGUAACUCAACAGAUUUGUGAACUCAAGCACAGUGGGGGCAGGGCCUAGCUGCUACAAAGAAGACAUGUUUUAGACAAUAUCGUGUGUAUGGGCAAAAAACUCAAAGUCUUUGUGACUAAUUGUAUAACAAGUUAUUUUAGUUUCUGUUCUAUGGAAAGUUUAAAGCAUUCCAACAACGGGUUUUAACGUAGGUAUUUUUUUGCACCCAUGCUGUUGAUUGCUAAAUGUAAUAGUCUGAUCAUGAUGCUGAUACAGAAAUGUGUCUUUAAAAAAAAUAAAAAACAAAAAAUAAAAAAUAUAUUGUUUUUC
Ailuropoda melanoleuca (giant panda) is the source of this 1842-nucleotide long non-coding RNA. RefSeq lists it as uncharacterized. NCBI's taxonomy places the organism in Eukaryota, Metazoa, Chordata, Mammalia, Carnivora, Ursidae. The record is from RefSeq and is a predicted model, not a curated record. The transcript is spliced from 2 exons.